Molecule: non-coding RNA, 603 nt
Organism: Pelodiscus sinensis (Chinese soft-shelled turtle)
Lineage: Eukaryota; Metazoa; Chordata; Testudines; Trionychidae
Source: RefSeq, a predicted model, not a curated record
CCUGGCCCCCAAUGGCUCCGUGGCUGUGGCCGCCGCCUACCAAGGCCGGCUCAACGUGGACCCCCACGGGGGGGCACUCACCAUUGCCCGUGUCACCCUCCAGGAUGCCGGUACCUACACAGUCGAGGUCUUCCCGCUGGGGGGCCAGCUGUGGAGGGGGGAGGUGCAGGUGGAGGUGUAUGAAAAGGUAGGGAACGUCUUGGUGACGCCCACUUCGCUGGAGGUGACAGAAGGCGCCGAGCCGGCAGUUCUGACCUGCGCCCCCAUACGGGGCACCGUCACCUGGACCAAGGAUGGACAAAACCUGGCCCAGAACCCCCGCUACCAGGUCUCGCCUGGGACUCUCCAGAUCAAUCAGCCUGACCGGAGCGACAGCGGCACCUACAGCUGCACUGUGUCCAACCCGUUCAGCCACGGGACCAGCGCCGCCUUGAUCCAGGUCUAUUACGGGCCAGAGCCCCCCACAAUCAGCAUCUCCUCAGACGGCAACCCGGAGCCCCGGCGCUACGUCCGGGUGAACAGCACGGUGGUGCUGGGCUGCCGGGCCCCGUCGAACCCACCUGCCGAGAUCUACUGGAACCUGGCGGAUGCCAGCGACCCCCC